RNAcentral lists this ribosomal RNA (425 nucleotides) under uncultured bacterium. RNAcentral describes it as "partial 16S ribosomal RNA". It matches the Rfam family "Bacterial small subunit ribosomal RNA", at positions 354 to 796 of the family's 1533-position model. The record is from RNAcentral.
GUGGGGAAUCUUGUGCAAUGGGCGAAAGCCUGACGCAGCCAUGCCGCGUGGAUGAUGAAGGUCUUAGGAUUGUAAAAUCCUUUCACCGGUGAAGAUAAUGACUGUAGCCGGAGAAGAAGCCCCGGCUAACUUCGUGCCAGCAGCCGCGGUAAUACGAAGGGGGCUAGCGUUGCUCGGAUUUACUGGGCGUAAAGGGCGCGUAGGCGGACAUUUAAGUCAGGGGUGAAAUCCCGGGGCUCAACCUCGGAACUACCUUUGAUACUGGGUGUCUUGAGUAUGAGAGAGGUGUGUGGAACUCCGAGUGUAGAGGUGAAAUUCGUAGAUAUUCGGAAGAACACCAGUGGCGAAGGCGACACACUGGCUCAUUACUGACGCUGAGGCGCGAAAGCGUGGGGAGCAAACAGGAUUAGAAACCCCAGUAGUCC